GAUGAAGAACGUAGUGAAAUGCGAUAAGUAAUGUGAAUUGCAGAAUUCAGUGAAUCAUCGAAUCUUUGAACGCACAUUGCGCCCCCUGGUAUUCCGGGGGGCAUGCCUGUUCGAGCGUCAUUUCACCACUCAAGCCUCGCUUGGUAUUGGGCAACGCGGUCCGCCGCGUGCCUCAAAUCGACCGGCUGGGUCUUCUGUCCCCUAAGCGUUGUGGAAACUAUUCGCUAAAGGGUGCUCGGGAGGCUACGCCGUAAAACAAACCCAUUUCUAAGGUUGACAUCGGAUCAGGUAGGGAUACCCGCUGAACUUAAGCAUAUCAAUAAGCGGAGGA
Molecule: unclassified non-coding RNA, 331 nt
Filed under: soil metagenome
Description: partial contains 5.8S ribosomal RNA, internal transcribed spacer 2, and large subunit ribosomal RNA
Rfam family: 5.8S ribosomal RNA (bases 1-120)
Source: RNAcentral